AAGAAAACAACACAGAUACACACUCUCAGCAGCAGUCUUACCCUGAAAAGCCUAGCAUGUACACUUUCCAGGAAGUUCUUCACUUACUUCUGAAGGAAGUGUCUUUCUUCCAUACAUGCACAGCUGAGUUGUUUUCUACUGGGAGGACAAACAGGGAGCAUUUGAGGGCGAGAUGGAGAAACAGCUGAGGUGAGUAGGGAGGGAAAAUGGCCUAGCAGCAGUAGAGGGUACUGGGACAGUGGAUGUUCAGUAUGGGCUGGUGCCCUCCACGGGGGAGCUGAGGAAGGACACUUCUCUACCCUACAUUCUGCACCUGGUGCUGGGCUCUGGCAGGCAGCCAUUCUCCCGCUACACCCUGUGUUAUCCAUCCACUGCUCAACAGCACCUCAGCCUCCCUCGGUCGUCCCUCUCUGUCAGUCCCAGAGUUGUCAGCAGCGCUAUCAUUCACAGAGGCCCACUGAAAGAUUUAAUAAUUGAGAAAUGUUAUGGCAUCAUUAAGGAGAACGGGUGGAAGAAGAUUGAGACGGCCUUUCAAGUACCAGACAGGUGAGACUAGAAGCACUAGCCAGGAGGCCCUGACCCUUGACCUCUCAUCUCCGACCUUGGAUCAUCAGCUGGGCUGCUCCGGGUGGCCAAAUGAGCUGACCUGACCUCAACCGUAUCAGUGACCCCGGGUCACUGCCAGUUGUUAUUUGACUGCAACAGUACACAACAAGCCCGGGAAAGAGACAGAGAAGACGACCAAUGGAAGACAUACCCAAGUAUAAGUGACUUAAGUAAAAGUACCAAUUCAUUAAUGUAGAAAUACUCCAUUAGAUAAGUACAAAUCCUGAGUGCAAAAUCCUACUUAAAGAGGCUAUGAUCGAUAAAUGGUUUAGAACAAUCAAAAAUGUGAAAUGGGUUGUUCAUAAUGGUGAACCUCUUGAGUAUUAUCACCUACAGUAAAUCUGUUUAAGGAGCUU
Molecule: long non-coding RNA, 962 nt
Organism: Perca fluviatilis (European perch)
Lineage: Eukaryota; Metazoa; Chordata; Actinopteri; Perciformes; Percidae
Exons: 4
Source: RefSeq, a predicted model, not a curated record